This 496-nucleotide ribosomal RNA is filed under the name uncultured bacterium. RNAcentral describes it as "partial 16S ribosomal RNA". It matches the Rfam family "Bacterial small subunit ribosomal RNA", at positions 28 to 506 of the family's 1533-position model. The record is from RNAcentral.
GAUGAACGCUGGCGGCGUGCCUAAUACAUGCAAGUCGAGCGAACGGACGAGAAGCUUGCUUCUCUGAUGUUAGCGGCGGACGGGUGAGUAACACGUGGAUAACCUACCUAUAAGACUGGGAUAACUUCGGGAAACCGUAGCUAAUACCGGAUAAUAUUUUGAACCGCAUGGUUCAAAAGUGAAAGACGGUCUUGCUGUCACUUAUAGAUGGAUCCGCGCUGCAUUAGCUAGUUGGUAAGGUAACGGCUUACCAAGGCAACGAUGCAUAGCCGACCUGAGAGGGUGAUCGCCCAACCGGGACAGGAGACACGUCCCAGCCCCCUAGGGGAGGCACGAGUGGGGAAUCUUCCGCAAGGGGCGAAACCCUGACGGAGCAACGCCGGGGGGGUGAGGAAGGUCUUCGGAUCGUAAACCUUUUUUUUUAGGGAAAAAAAUAUUUGUAAGUAACUGUGCACAUCUGGACGGGACCAAAGCAAAAAGCCCCGGCAAACUCCGU